This is an RNA transcript of Helianthus annuus (common sunflower), 3205 nucleotides long. It is a transcript of the gene named protein SPA1-RELATED 4, with no coding region annotated. The record is from RefSeq and is a predicted model, not a curated record. NCBI's taxonomy places the organism in Eukaryota, Viridiplantae, Streptophyta, Magnoliopsida, Asterales, Asteraceae. The transcript is spliced from 8 exons.
ACGUAUGUUGAUGUGGGAUGAGUGGGUUAGAGACGAUGAUUCUGUAUAGGGUUUUAAUUUUAAUAGUACAAUGUUAUCAACAUCUGUUUUUAAUUCAUUUUAUUAUUAUAGAAAAAGAAGAGAUCAUCACCAACACUGUGUUCCCGAGUUAAAAAUCCCUCCCCUUCCCUCCCCUCCCCUCCCCUCCCCUCCCCUCCAUGUCUUUCCAAAUUGGAAAGACUAUUUUCAGGCAAAAAAAACCCCAUUUUCCCUCCCCUCCCCCUGUUAAGUGGAUCUCUGGAACACCAUUUUCCCUCCCCUCCCCUCCCCUCCCCCUGUUAAGUAGAUCUCUGGAACACAGCGCAAAUCAUAACAAGAGGCUAGGGAUUUUCUAUUUGUUUUUUACCUUUUUGUGGUAAUAAAAUAAUUAAAAAUAAAUAAAACAAAAAACCCUUUUAUGGUAUUGAAAGUUCAAGAAAAAAGGUUUGUGGCUUUGUGGUUCUUGUUUUGCAGAUGCUCAAGAUUCUCUCAUGGUGGUUACUGGUUUUGUAAGGAGCUAAAAUGUGACAUGCAUGAACAAAUUUGUGGAUGAAAAUGGAGAAUUUAUCUGAAUUUGGUUAUCAAGUAUCCGGUAGCUCUAGAGGUUUAAAUUCUUCAGAGGCUUCAAACCGAAAUCCCAGAUCAGAUCAUGAUUCCGGGAUUAUAGCAGACAGAACAAGGCAAGAUAAGUCUGUGUUGACUCGGCUGAACCGAGUCAGAACUCAGUUCGGUUACUUUCGAGAAGAUGCCGGUGCAGUUAUUCGCCCGGUGGAACACAAAGAUGUUAGUUUGAGGCAGUGGUUAGAUGAGAGAACACGGGUCGUUAACGCUUUUGAAUGCUUGCAUAUAUUCAUACAAAUUGUAGAAAUCGUAAACUUGGCACAUUCACAAGGGAUUGUUGUUCAUAAUAUCCGGCCCUCUUGCUUUGUAAUGUCGUCGUUAAACCGUGUGUCGUUUAUAGAGUCUGCAUCUUGCUCAGAUUCAGAUUCGGAUUCUGAAUCUAAUGACGAUGUGUUGACUAGCCAGACAACCGGUCUUAAGGGCCAAAAUCUUGCCCAUACGGUAUCGGAAAACACAUGGUUGCAAUCGAGUUUGGAGAAUUUAGAGGCGAGUUGUAGUGAACAAACGGAAAAGAAACAACACUUCCCCAUGAAACGUAUAUUAGAAAUGGAAACCGAUUGGUAUACAAGCCCUGAGGAGGCUGAAGGCUCGCCGGGCUCUUUUGCGUCCGAUGUUUAUCGACUCGGGGUCCUUCUAUUUGAGUUGUAUUGCACAUGUAACUCAGCUGAAGAGAAGAACGCAACCAUGUCUAGCCUGCGACAUCGUGUUUUUCCUCCACCGAUACUACUAAAAUGGCCUAAAGUAGCAUUAUUUUGUCUCUGGUUAUUGCAUCCCGAGCCAGCUAGUAGACCGAAAAUAGAUGAAGUGUUGCAAAGCGAGUUUCUUACCGAACCUAAAGACAAAUUAGAUGAACGCGUGGCCGCGAUAGAUCUUAAAGAGAAGUUCGACGACCAGGAUUUGUUGCUGGAAUUUCUUUUAGUGAUGCAACAACGCAAACAAGAAGCUGCCGAUAAUUUGCGUAAUAUCGUUUCAGCCGUAACUUCAGAUUUGCAAGAAGUUGCGAAAUUGGAAUCGUUAAUCAACCGAAAACAAGAAUCAAAUACGAAUCUCGGAGUUCAAGUAGUUCAAGAUUCCCCAAACAAUUCUUCUAGUUCAGGAUUCAGAAAACGCACCCGUUUAAUCACUAACGUUCACCAAAACGAGUAUCACGCAUCCGAAAACCGAGGAAAUUCAAGCGCUCAAAGUUCAAGAUUGAUGAGGAACUUUCGGAAACUAGAAUCCGCUUACUUUUCGACUAGACGAAGGGCGUUUAGACCCGUUAACAGCAACAGUAAAGAAUCGGUUAGUGAUUUUUCAUCAGAAGAUCAGUUUGCAGGUAGACGAAGUAGAUGGAUAAACUCGUUUUUGGAUGGAUUAUGCAAGUAUCUGUCGUUUAGUAAACUGAAAGUCAAAGCCGAUUUGAAACAAGCUGACCUUUUAAGUUCUUCAAAUCUCGUUUGUUCUCUGAGUUUUGAUCGCGAUGGAGAUUUCUUUGCGACUGCUGGUGUAAAUAAGAAGAUUAAAGUUUUCGAAUACGAUUCAAUCUUGAACGGAAACCGCGACAUCCAUUAUCCUGUCGUCGAAAUGGCGAGUAGGUCGAAGUUUAGUAGUACAUGUUGGAACAGUUAUAUUAAAGGUCAGAUUGCUUCGAGUAAUUUUGACGGCGUAGUACAGGUAUGGGAUGUUACACGAAAUGAAGUGUAUAUGGAAAUGAGAGAGCACGAGAAGCGUGCAUGGUCGGUGGACUUCUCAUCAGCGGACCCCACAUUGCUAGCAAGCGGAAGCGAUGAUGGUUCUGUUAAACUCUGGAAUAUCAAUCAGGCAAUUCUAUUAUCGGAUUAUCAAUCAGGGAGCAAGUGUGGGUACCAUUAAGACAAAAGCGAAUGUCUGUUCCGUUCAGUUCCCGUUGGAUUCUGGUAACUCACUUGCGUUCGGUUCAGCUGAUCAUCGAGUAUAUUAUUACGAUCUGAGAAAUCCAAGCAGGCCCGUUUGCAUGUUUGUCGGACACGAGAAAACUGUUAGUUACGUCAAGUUCAUCGACUCGACGACCCUUGUAUCAUCGUCUACUGACAACACUUUGAAGCUUUGGGAUUUGUCUGAGUGCUCGUCACACGUUGUUGACUGUCCAGUUCAGUCCUUCACAGGUCACACAAACGUUAAGAACUUUGUCGGUUUAUCUGUAUCCGACGGUUACAUUGCCACCGGCUCAGAAACAAACGAGGUUUUCGUCUACCACAAAGCUUUCCCGAUGCCCGCUUUGUCGUACAAAUUCAACAGCACUGACCCGCUUUCAGGUGAUGAAGUGGAUGACGCUGAGCAAUUUGUGUCAUCGGUGUGUUGGCGGAAUCAAUCUUCUACUUUGGUUGCGGCAAAUUCCAUGGGAGAUAUCAAACUUUUGGAGAUGGUUUAGGAGGUAAACAAGCGUAAACUUUAAUAGUCAUUGCGCUAAAUGCGAAAUUGUUUAUACGGACAACUUUUUGUUCAUUUUAGAAGAUUAUGGUGUUAAAGAUCAUCACAACUUGUACCACAGAUAUUGUUUUAGUUGAGAAAGAAACUUGAGAAUUGAGAUAGCUCUUGUUCUUGUAUA